Molecule: ribosomal RNA, 515 nt
Filed under: uncultured bacterium
Lineage: Bacteria
Description: partial 16S ribosomal RNA
Rfam family: Bacterial small subunit ribosomal RNA
Source: RNAcentral
GAUGAACGCUGGCGGCGUGCCUAAUACAUGCAAGUCGAGCGAAUGGAUUAAGAGCUUGCUCUUAUGAAGUUAGCGGCGGACGGGUGAGUAACACGUGGGUAACCUGCCCAUAAGACUGGGAUAACUCCGGGAAACCGGGGCUAAUACCGGAUAACAUCUUGAACCGCAUGGUUCGAAAUUGAAAGGCGGCUUCGGCUGUCAAUUAUGGAUGGACCAGCGUCGCAUUAGCUAGUUGGUGAGGUAACGGCUCACCAAGGCAACGAUGCGUAGCCGACCUGAGAGGGUGAUCGGCCACACUGGGACUGAGACACGGCCCAGACUCCUACGGGAGGCAGCAGUAGGGAAUCUUCCGCAAUGGACGAAAGUCUGACGGAGCAACGCCGCGUGAGUGAUGAAGGCUUUCGGGUCGUAAAACUCUGUUGUUAGGGAAGAACAAGUGCUAGUUGAAUAAGCUGGCACCUUGACGGUACCUAACCAGAAAGCCACGGCUAACUACGUGCCAGCCGCCGCAGUAA